RNAcentral lists this ribosomal RNA (483 nucleotides) under uncultured bacterium. RNAcentral describes it as "partial 16S ribosomal RNA". It matches the Rfam family "Bacterial small subunit ribosomal RNA", at positions 28 to 523 of the family's 1533-position model. The record is from RNAcentral.
GACGAACGCUGGCGGCGCGCCUAACACAUGCAAGUCGAACGGAAUCAAGAGGAGCUUGCUUUUCUUGGUUUAGUGGCGAACGGGUGAGUAACGCGUGAGUAACCUGCCCUGGAGUGGGGGACAACAGUUGGAAACGACUGCUAAUACCGCAUAAGCCCACGGUACCGCAUGGUACUGAGGGAAAAGGAUUUAUUCGCUUCAGGAUGGACUCGCGUCCAAUUAGCUAGUUGGUGAGGUAACGGCCCACCAAGGCGACGAUUGGUAGCCGGACUGAGAGGUUGAACGGCCACAUUGGGACUGAGACACGGCCCAGACUCCUACGGGAGGCAGCAGUGGGGGAUAUUGCACAAUGGGGGAAACCCUGAUGCAGCGACGCCGCGUGGAGGAAGAAGGUUUUCGGAUUGUAAACUCCUGUCGUUAGGGACGAUAAUGACGGUACCUACAAGAAAGCACCGGCUAACUCCGUGCCAGCAGCCGCCGUAA